UAUCUUUUUCCUUAUUAUGCAUUCUCUUGGCGAGUGAUCGAAAAUAUAUAUGAUGAUAUCCUAUAACAACAACAACAUGAAUUUCUUCGUCCGAAUCCU
RNAcentral lists this small nucleolar RNA (99 nucleotides) under Saccharomyces cerevisiae Kyokai no. 7. Lineage: Eukaryota; Fungi; Ascomycota; Saccharomycetes; Saccharomycetales; Saccharomycetaceae. The record is from RNAcentral.